AUUGAACGCUGCGGCAGGCUUAACACAUGCAAGUCGAGCGCGCGGCGGACGCGUGCGUAAUGCUUAGGUCUCUGCCUAUUAGUGGUGGACAACAUCUAGAAAGGGAUGCUAAUACCGCAUACUCUUAGCAUAGCCUAAGUCGGAUUAGCGAGUUGGUGGGGUAAAGGGCUAACAAGGCGACGAUCUGUAGCGGGUCUGAGAGGAUGAUCCGCCAAAAUGGGACCGAGGCCACGCCCAGAAUGCUACGGGAGGCAGCAGUUGGGAAUAAUUGACAAAUGGGGGAACCCUGAUCCAGCCAUGCCGCGUGGGUGAAGAAGGCCUUAUGGUUGGAAAGCACUUUACGGGAGGAGGCGUUACUCGCAGAAUAAGCACCGGCUAACUCCGUGCCAGCAGCCGCGGUAAUUC
RNAcentral lists this ribosomal RNA (405 nucleotides) under uncultured bacterium. Its description in RNAcentral is "partial 16S ribosomal RNA". It matches the Rfam family "Bacterial small subunit ribosomal RNA", at positions 30 to 526 of the family's 1533-position model. The record is from RNAcentral.